UACGUAGGGUCCGAGCGUUGUCCGGAAUUACUGGGCGUAAAGAGCUCGUAGGUGGUUUGUCGCGUUGUUCGUGAAAACUCACAGCUUAACUGUGGGCGUGCGGGCGAUACGGGCAGACUGGAGUACUGCAGGGGAGACUGGAAUUCCUGGUGUAGCGGUGGAAUGCGCAGAUAUCAGGAGGAACACCGGUGGCGAAGGCGGGUCUCUGGGCAGUAACUGACGCUGAGGAACGAAAGCUAGGGGAGCAAACAGG
RNAcentral lists this ribosomal RNA (253 nucleotides) under uncultured bacterium. RNAcentral's name for it is "partial 16S ribosomal RNA". It matches the Rfam family "Bacterial small subunit ribosomal RNA", at positions 524 to 776 of the family's 1533-position model. The record is from RNAcentral.